This 684-nucleotide ribosomal RNA is filed under the name Pseudomonas gessardii. RNAcentral's name for it is "bacterial SSU rRNA". It matches the Rfam family "Bacterial small subunit ribosomal RNA", at positions 98 to 777 of the family's 1533-position model. The record is from RNAcentral. Lineage: Bacteria; Pseudomonadati; Pseudomonadota; Gammaproteobacteria; Pseudomonadales; Pseudomonadaceae.
GCGGACGGGUGAGUAAUGCCUANCGAAUCUGCCUGGUAGUGGGGGAUAACGUUCGGAAACGGACGCUAAUACCGCAUACGUCCUACGGGAGAAAGCAGGGGACCUUCGGGCCUUGCGCUAUCAGAUGAGCCUAGGUCGGAUUAGCUAGUUGGUGGGGUAAUGGCUCACCAAGGCGACGAUCCGUAACUGGUCUGAGAGGAUGAUCAGUCACACUGGAACUGAGACACGGUCCAGACUCCUACGGGAGGCAGCAGUGGGGAAUAUUGGACAAUGNGCGAAAGCCUGAUCCAGCCAUGCCGCGUGUGUGAAGAAGGUCUUCGGAUUGUAAAGCACUUUAAGUUGGGAGGAAGGGUUGUAGAUUAAUACUCUGCAAUUUUGACGUUACCGACAGAAUAAGCACCGGCUAACUCUGUGCCAGCAGCCGCGGUAAUACAGAGGGUGCAAGCGUUAAUCGGAAUUACUGGGCGUAAAGCGCGCGUAGGUGGUUAGUUAAGUUGGAUGUGAAAUCCCCGGGCUCAACCUGGGAACUGCAUUCAAAACUGACUGACUAGAGUAUGGUAGAGGGUGGUGGAAUUUCCUGUGUAGCGGUGAAAUGCGUANAUAUAGGAAGGAACACCAGUGGCGAAGGCGACCACCUGGACUGAUACUGACACUGAGGUGCGAAAGCGUGGGGAGCAAACAGGA